CAUAUAUAUAUAUGUGUGUGUGUGUGUGUGUGUGUAUAUAUAUAUAUACACACACACACACACAUAUAUAUAUAUAUAUG
Molecule: non-coding RNA, 80 nt
Organism: Podarcis lilfordi (Lilford's wall lizard)
Lineage: Eukaryota; Metazoa; Chordata; Lepidosauria; Squamata; Lacertidae
Source: the annotation of a GenBank genome assembly